AGAGUUUGAUCAUGGCUCAGCCUGAACGCUGGCGGCGUGGCUAAGACAUGCAAGUCGCACGGGGUAGCAAUACCCAGUGGCGAACGGGUGAGUAAUGAAUCGCUAAUGUGCCCCGGACUCUGAGAUAGCUGCCCGAAAGGGCAGGUAAUAUCAGAUGAUAUAACCGAACCGCAUGGUUUGGUUCUCAAAGGUCCGCCGGUCUGGGAGCAGGCGAUUUCGUAUCAGCUAGUUGGUGAGGUAACGGCUCACCAAGGCGACGACGCGUAGCCGGACUGAGAGGUUGGCCGGCCACAUUGGGACUGAGACACUGCCCAGACUCCUACGGGGGGCUGCAGUAACGAAUCUUCCGCAAUGCACGAAAGUGUGACGGAGCGACGCCGCGUGUGGGACGAAGCCCUUCGGGGUGUAAACCACUGUCAGGGGUUACCAAGUUCUGAGGAGCCCCAGAGGAAGGGACGGCUAACUCUGUGCCAGCAGCCGCGGUAAGACAGAGGUCCCGAGCGUUAGGCGGAAUCACUGGGCUUAAAGCGUGUGUAGGCGGAGUUCUAAGUACCUUGUGAAAUCCCACGGCUUAACCGUGGAACUGCUUGGUAUACUGGUUCUCUUGGGCCACUUAGGGGCUACUGGAACAAACGGUGGAGCGGUGAAAUGCGUAGAUAUCGUUUGGAACGCCAAUGGUGAAAACAAGUAGCUGGGAGUGUGCCGACGCUGAGACACGAAAGCCAGGGGAGCGAACGGGAUUAGAUACCCCAGUAGUCC
This 759-nucleotide ribosomal RNA is filed under the name uncultured bacterium. RNAcentral describes it as "bacterial SSU rRNA". It matches the Rfam family "Bacterial small subunit ribosomal RNA", at positions 8 to 796 of the family's 1533-position model. The record is from RNAcentral.